AGUGGGGGAUAACGUAGCGAAAGUUACGCUAAUACCGCAUAUGCCCUGAGGGGGAAAGGAGGGGAUCGCAAGACCUUUCGCUUUCGGAGUGGCCGAUAUCGGAUUAGCUAGUAGGUGAGGUAAAGGCUCACCUAGGCGACGAUCCGUAGCUGGUCUGAGAGGACGGCCAGCCACACUGGGACUGAGACACGGCCCAGACUCCUACGGGAGGCAGCAGUGGGGAAUUUUGGACAAUGGGCGCAAGCCUGAUCCAGCCAUGCCGCGUGAGUGAAGAAGGCCUUCGGGUUGUAAAGCUCUUUCGGACAGAAAGAAAUCCUAUCCGCUAAUACCGGGUGGGGAUGACGGUACUGUAAGAAGAAGCACCGGCUAACUACGUGCCAGCAGCCGCGGUAAUACGUAGGGUGCGAGCGUUAAUCGGAAUUACUGGGCGUAAAGCGUGCGCAGGCGGUUUUGUAAGACAGGUGUGAAAUCCCCGGGCUUAACCUGGGAACUGCACUUGUGACUGCAAGACUAGAGUGCGGCAGAGGGGGGUAGAAUUCCA
This 541-nucleotide ribosomal RNA is filed under the name uncultured Gallionellaceae bacterium. RNAcentral describes it as "bacterial SSU rRNA". It matches the Rfam family "Bacterial small subunit ribosomal RNA", at positions 135 to 671 of the family's 1533-position model. Lineage: Bacteria; Pseudomonadati; Pseudomonadota; Betaproteobacteria; Nitrosomonadales; Gallionellaceae. The record is from RNAcentral.